Corvus hawaiiensis (hawaiian crow) is the source of this 326-nucleotide long non-coding RNA. RefSeq lists it as uncharacterized. The transcript is spliced from 4 exons. Lineage: Eukaryota; Metazoa; Chordata; Aves; Passeriformes; Corvidae. The record is from RefSeq and is a predicted model, not a curated record.
CUGUGUGCAAAUGGUCCUGGAAACAGCGCUGUGAAGAGUUUCCUGAAAGGGAGCUUAUGACCACUAUCCAUACUUAUUUGAUUGCAGUAGAUGCAUUUGAAUUUUAAGGACAGGCUCUUCAGAAUCCUGAAAUAUUCUGUGGUCUGCAAGAGUCAGAACGUUGGAACAAGACAGGAAGGAAGUUGGAUCACCAGAGCAUAUGCCACUAAACUGACCAAGCUUCCUCCUUGUCCCUAAUAAGUGUUGAACACACUUCUCAAAUUUCAUUGCAACUGGCUGAAGGAGGAUCUGCUAUGUUUCCAAUGCAUCAACUUUUGAAGGCAUGA